UAACCCUACGGGGGGCAGCAGUGGGGAAUAUUGCACAAUGGGGGAAACCCUGAUGCAGCGACGCCGCGUGGGCGAGGAAGUACCUCGGUAUGUAAAGCCCUAUCAGCAGGGAAGAAACAGGACAGUACCUGACUAAGAAGCCCCGGCUAACUACGUGCCAGCAGCCGCGGUAAUACGUAGGGGGCAAGCGUUAUCCGGAUUUACUGGGUGUAAAGGGAGCGUAGACGGAAUAGCAAGUCUGAUGUGAAAACCCGGGGCUCAACUCAGGGAGUGCAUUGGAAACUGUUGAUCUAGAGUGUCGGAGG
Molecule: ribosomal RNA, 305 nt
Filed under: uncultured bacterium
Lineage: Bacteria
Description: bacterial SSU rRNA
Rfam family: Bacterial small subunit ribosomal RNA
Source: RNAcentral